Molecule: long non-coding RNA, 2580 nt
Filed under: Gossypium barbadense (sea-island cotton)
Lineage: Eukaryota; Viridiplantae; Streptophyta; Magnoliopsida; Malvales; Malvaceae
Description: long non-coding RNA (GBAR_LNC019295)
Source: RNAcentral
UUUUUUUCUUAUUUUCAUAAUUUUACAUAUAUAUAAAUACACACACAUUUUAGAAUAUACAUAUAUAAUUUAAAUUAAAGUAUUUGUUUCAUGUUAUACAUUAACUUUUUUAACAUGCCUUUUAGAAAACAUAUAUUUUGGUUGCGUCAAAGCAUUAAAAUCGUCAUAUUUUACAAAUUUCCAAAAUAUCCGGCAUUUAUGAUUCUUGAGAAAGAUCGUGUCCUAACUUACUGGAUUGCGAUUAUUUUUCGAUGAAUUUAGAAAGCCAAGUAUUCAUUUCACAAUAAAUUCACAAAUUUCAAAUAAAAGCUUAUUCUCGGGAAUUCAAAAAUGUCGGGUCCUAACUUACUGGUCAUGACAUUUCAUUAUCUCGAAAUAAGAAUUUCUAAAACAAAAGGUAAUAGUCGGUAUUUUGAAGAUUUAAAAAUAUUGUGCCCUAACUCACUGGGUGUGGUGUUUUAUUUCUUUGAAAUAAGAAUGUUUUAUUAUUUUGAUUCAUUCACGAGAUAAGAAGUUUUCUUUUAAAAUCUUUUCAAAUUUUCGACACCAAGACAUUAAAUAAUCAAUUUGGUACCGAUUUCGGGCGUUACGAGGGUGCUAACCCUUCCUCGUGCGUAACUGACUCCCGAACCUAUUUUUUCAAAUUUCGCAGACCGAAAUUGUUUUUAAGGUGAGCUGAUCACACCUCAAUCAAGGAUCGGUGGCGACUCCAAUUUUUAUUUUUAAAGUCGACAACUAAAUUUUUUGUUUUCAAAAAAAUAGUUUUGACAGUCAUUAUACAUGGUUCUACAAAAAAAUUAAUUUUUUUAUCCAAAUUGUUGACGUGGCAUGUUAGUGGCGCCAAAUAUUUUGGCUUCACCAACUUUUACUGUAGCUUUCGGAUUAUUUUUAUAUUUUAUCAAAACAUAAGUUAUUUAAGUAAUUAAUUAUUUUUGGGAUUAACUUUAUAAUAAAAAAAAAAAACCCUCAAAAUGGUUAUCAGUUGUUUUUAAAGGUUAGACUAAAUUUUUGUUAGAGUUUUUUUUUUCUUUUUUUCCUCUCUUUGCCGUCCCCUUCAUUUUUUUUUCCUCGCUCUUCUUCAAUUUUCUCCCGUAACCCACCAUUAUUGCAACCUAAAGCACUAGUUUUUAUUUUCUGUUUAUGUCGUCCCUUUGCCCAUCACUUCUCUACUUUAUUUGAUUGAAUCCUUAUCUUUUUAAUAUCAAUAUUUUGUUCAUAAGUUGUUGCCAUUUUUUAUUCUUCAUUGUUAUCCAUUUCUCCUUCUCUUGUUGUUGCACAUUAAAGCUUUUGUUGCUCUCAUAAUUUCUAUAUUGUCGCCCCAUCUAAGUCUCAUAUUGUCAUCAUUAUUUCUCUUAUUUUGCUUUUGAUUUUGUACAUAUUCUCACCCCUUGGCUGAACCCUCUUAACAUGAUUAGCAAGCAUUUGUUUUCGUUGAUCAAAUGUUAACACGGGUCUUCAAACCGGUGUAGCCUAAGUUGAUCCAAUUAAUUAGAUUUCAUUUUCCUUCUUGAUCUCGGUUGGCCGAAUGCCAUAGAGGUUUCAUUGGUUGAUUUUAAUCAUUUUGUUAUAUGUUUAUCAUGUCCGAUUUGCAGAUUAGGAAGGAAUCGAGACAAAUCCAAGUUGUAGUGGUGCUCAGUCAAUUGUUAGUGUUCUAUGUAUUGUAAUCGAGGUGUGAGAUUUAAAUCAAUUGUGAAUGGUGUAUGUGUGUGUACUAUUUUGCAUGUUGGUUGACUAAUGUUGUUGUACCAAAUACUUAUCGAUCAACCUCCAAGUAGUUGCUACUGGUUACUUUCGUUAGUGACUUCUUAUGUAGUUUACUUCAAUUUUGUUGCUCAACCUUGCACUGUUUGCCAUCUAAAUACGUUGCUUACUGUUUUGGUGUCGAUUAGCUUCAAUUUCUUAUUGUUUUAGCCUGCUGUGUGUUUGUCGAUCAAUCCUUAAUUAUAGUCUUCAAUUGCCUAUGUACAUGCCCACUGUUCUGCUUCAUUAAAUGCAUGUUAAACAUGUUAUUUUUUGUAUCUCUUGUUUGCAUGCCUAUAAAGCAUGUCACUGUUAUGAUUAUUGAUCGUGUGAUUAUGACACGCUUCUGUAUUGUAUCGUAUCUGAUUCUACUAUUCUGAGAUAAUGACAUUACGCAUUGCAUCGGAGUUGGAUUGAUCGGAGACAGAGGAGAUUUGUUGAGCUCUGGCUGUAUAUUUGCAAUUACUAGAGUUCUGGCGGUAAAUUUGCAAUUUCGGAGUUCUGGCAAUUUGUUCGCAAUUUGUUUUGGCGAUUUGUCUGCAUACUAUUCUAGCGAUUCGUCCAUAACACUAUUCUACUGGUUUAUCCAUGCAAUCUGACUAGCAGCAUAGUUUCAAUUAUUUUCUGUUACCUAUGGUUUAACCACAAUUAGCUACGGCUCCUUUUUAUAUGAUGUGUAUGGUUGGAUAUGGUGUGUAGCAGAUGGAUGGCUAAGAAAACUACAUUGAAAUUCAUGAACAUUUAUACAAAUUUUGUGAUUUCGUAUACUUUGACGAUAUGGUGAUUGGUGAUAUUGUUGUAUAUGUUAUUAAUGUGAACACAAAUGAUGUUAUGGUCUUG